AUGGCGCGGCGGGGCCACCACCUGACCGAGGUAGCCCUCCUCGCGUCCGCUUCGGGAUGCCUCGCGGCCGCGGGGGCCGGCGAGCGGGAGGGGUGGCUGGACGACCCCGCGGUGCUCCUCUCGCUCGGGCCCCGCGCGCGCGACCUCGCCGUGGCCAGCGCGGCGAGGUCCGUGCUGGGUAUCGUCCCGGUCGCGGGCGGCGGCGGGGUCACGGUGAAGCCCGCGCUGGGGCCCGACGACGGCCGGAUCUCCGCCGUCGAGUGGGUCCCGCUCGACGCGGAGGGGGCGCAAGGGGAGGAGGGAAUGGCCCUCGUGGUGGGCACCGACGCCGGCUGGCUCCUCUUCUACUCGCUCGCCGGCGAUCUCCUGCAUAAGCAGAGUAUAUAUCCUGCGAAGAUACUGAAGCUUAACUUCAGUGAGAGAAAGGAAAAUGCUUGGGAAGAUUCAGGUUCAGAUGAGCUUUCCGUGGUUUUCCCCGGUGUUAUUGCACGUUGUGAUGGUGCUGACCUUCAGAUCAUGCUUCAAAAAUCAUUUCAAGAAGUUAAAUCGCGCAUGUGGAAAGAUAAGUUUGAACAGGAAGAUGAUGAGGACACGAGUUCUUUUGAAAAGAUACCUCUUCAGAUUUGGAACGUAAGCAAGUUCAGCUCUUGUGUUGAUGCUGCAAUUGUUGGGCUAAUGCCACCUCCUCUGUUAGAACUUCAGUCGAGUCAGCGCCACUACUGUGCCAUUACAGUUGGAGAGGAUGCUGUCGUUUCAGCAUAUAGGUUAUCUGAAGACAGAAGCAGGUCAUUAGUUGGAGCAAUUUUGUCAAGAGGUGUAGCUGCAACAUUUUCGACAAUAUCAUCUUUGUCCAAAAUUCUGUGGCGGAGUGAACCAUCACCGACUAAGAAGUCACGGCCAAAGCCUCAAGCCUUUGCAAAAACAUCACCUCUCACAUGCUUGAAAGACUCACCAAGGAAGGGAGAACGACUUACACUCUCCCCAAGUGGUACAUUGGCUGCAAUAACUGAUUCUCUUGGACGAAUACUACUGCUGGACACUCGUGCCCUUGUGGCUGUGCGGUUAUGGAAGGGUUAUCGUGAUGCUUCUUGUCUUUUUGUGGAGAUGCUUCGUAACAAAGACAAGUCGUCAUCAAGCUCAAUGCACUUGGAUUAUACAAAGAGUGACUAUUGCUUGUGCCUAGCAAUCCAUGCCCCACGGAAAGGCAUAAUUGAGGUUUGGCAGAUGCGGACUGGGCCACGUCUCCUAACAAUCCCAUGCCCCAAGGGAAGCAGGAUCUUGCAGCCGUCGACGAGGUUCUCGUCGUCGUCGGCAUUCUCGUCGUAUACACCGUUGGAGGUUUACUUGUUCAAUGGAGACUCUGGGCAGUUGUCUGUCUUGAAUAGGCAUAUUGGAUGA
RNAcentral lists this ribosomal RNA (1398 nucleotides) under Triticum aestivum (bread wheat). RNAcentral describes it as "partial small subunit ribosomal RNA". Lineage: Eukaryota; Viridiplantae; Streptophyta; Magnoliopsida; Poales; Poaceae. The record is from RNAcentral.